UGGGGAAUAUUGCACAAUGGGCGCAAGCCUGAUGCAGCCAUGCCGCGUGUGUGAAGAAGGCCUUCGGGUUGUAAAGCACUUUCAGCGGGGAGGAAGGCGAUAAGGUUAAUAACCUUGUCGAUUGACGUUACCCGCAGAAGAAGCACCGGCUAACUCCGUGCCAGCAGCCGCGGUAAUACGGAGGGUGCAAGCGUUAAUCGGAAUUACUGGGCGUAAAGCGCACGCAGGCGGUCUGUCAAGUCGGAUGUGAAAUCCCCGGGCUCAACCUGGGAACUGCAUUCGAAACUGGCAGACUAGAGUCUUGUAGAGGGGGGUAGAAUUCCAGGUGUAGCGGUGAAAUGCGUAGAGAUCUGGAGGAAUACCGGUGGCGAAGGCGGCCCCCUGGACAAAGACUGACGCUCAGGUGCGAAAGCGUGGGGAGCAAACAGG
RNAcentral lists this ribosomal RNA (429 nucleotides) under Chloroflexota bacterium. RNAcentral describes it as "Chloroflexi bacterium partial 16S ribosomal RNA". It matches the Rfam family "Bacterial small subunit ribosomal RNA", at positions 355 to 776 of the family's 1533-position model. Lineage: Bacteria; Bacillati; Chloroflexota. The record is from RNAcentral.